GUUGAAGAACGCAGUGAAAUGCGAUACGUAAUGUGAAUUGCAGAAUUCAGUGAAUCAUCGAGUCUUUGAACGCACAUUGCGCCCCCUGGUAUUCCGGGGGGCAUGCCUGUCCGAGCGUCAUUGCUGCCCUCAAGCACGGCUUGUGUGUUGGGCCUCCGUCCUCCUCCCGGGGGACGGGCCCGAAAGGCAGCGGCGGCACCGCGUCCGGUCCUCGAGCGUAUGGGGCUUCGUCACCCGCUCUUGUAGGCCCGGCCGGCGCUUGCCGACACAUCAAUCUUUUUUCCAGGUUGACCUCGGAUCAGGUAGGGAUACCCGCUGAACUUAAGCAUAUCAAUAAGCGGAGGA
RNAcentral lists this unclassified non-coding RNA (345 nucleotides) under soil metagenome. RNAcentral describes it as "partial contains 5.8S ribosomal RNA, internal transcribed spacer 2, and large subunit ribosomal RNA". The stretch from base 1 to 120 matches the Rfam family "5.8S ribosomal RNA", at positions 35 to 154 of the family's 154-position model. The record is from RNAcentral.